AACAGGAUUAGAUACCCUGGUAGUCCACGCCGUAAACGAUGUCGACUUGGAGGUUGUGCCCUUGAGGCGUGGCUUCCGGAGCUAACGCGUUAAGUCGACCGCCUGGGGAGUACGGCCGCAAGGUUAAAACUCAAAUGAAUUGACGGGGGCCCGCACAAGCGGUGGAGCAUGUGGUUUAAUUCGGUGCAACGCGAAGAACCUUACCUACUCUUGACAUCCAGAGAACUUAGCAGAGAUGCUUCGGUGCCUUCGGGAACUCUGAGACAGGUGCUGCAUGGCUGUCGUCAGCUCGUGUUGUGAAAUGUUGGGUUAAGUCCCGCAACGAGCGCAACCCUUAUCCUUUGUUGCCAGCGGUUAGGCCGGGAACUCAAAGGAGACUGCCAGUGAUAAACUGGAGGAAGGUGGGGAUGACGUCAAGUCAUCAUGGCCCUUACGAGUAGGGCUACACACGUGCUACAAUGGCAUAUACAAAGAGAAGCGACCUCGCGAGAGCAAGCGGACCUCAUAAAGUAUGUCGUAGUCCGGAUUGGAGUCUGCGACUCGACUCCAUGAAGUCGGAAUCGCUAGUAAUCGUGGAUCAGAAUGCCACGGUGAAUACGUUCCCGGGCCUUGUACACACCGCCCGUCACACCAUGGGAGUGGGUUGCAAAAGAAGUAGGUAGCUUAACCUUCGGGAGGGCGCUUACCACUUUGUGAUUCAUGACUGGGGUGAAGUCGUAACAAGGUAACC
RNAcentral lists this ribosomal RNA (730 nucleotides) under uncultured bacterium. Its description in RNAcentral is "bacterial SSU rRNA". It matches the Rfam family "Bacterial small subunit ribosomal RNA", at positions 771 to 1501 of the family's 1533-position model. The record is from RNAcentral.